Molecule: long non-coding RNA, 258 nt
Filed under: Salvia miltiorrhiza (redroot sage)
Lineage: Eukaryota; Viridiplantae; Streptophyta; Magnoliopsida; Lamiales; Lamiaceae
Description: long non-coding RNA (SMIL_LNC002116)
Source: RNAcentral
CCAGAAAACGAGGACGAGGUUGUGCAGAGGUCGAUGCGGGCGCUUGUAGAAUUAACGCAUAUAAUCAUCACCAUAACAAAGUAGAACAACUAUACAAUAUGAUUUUGAUCAUGUCGCAGUCGUUUAGGACAUUUUUCUCUAUUCUUUUUUUGGUUGUGCCAGACUAGUGUUAAUUCGAUUGAUUAUCACCCGAUCGACAUUUCAUUGCCAUGCUCCGAAUAAAAAUGUCUUCCAAAUGAAAUGAUCUCCUCUUAUAAU